RNAcentral lists this ribosomal RNA (607 nucleotides) under uncultured fungus. RNAcentral's name for it is "eukaryotic LSU rRNA". The stretch from base 65 to 219 matches the Rfam family "5.8S ribosomal RNA". Lineage: Eukaryota; Fungi. The record is from RNAcentral.
CACACACACACACGCUGUAGUAAAGUCUCAUGGAAUGCAUACCGCGUUUAACGCAAUAUAAUACAACUUUCAGCAACGGAUCUCUUGGCUCUCGCAUCGAUGAAGAACGCAGCGAAAUGCGAUAAGUAAUGUGAAUUGCAGAAUUCAGUGAAUCAUCGAAUCUUUGAACGCACCUUGCGCCCUUUGGCUAUUCCGAAGGGCAUGCCUGUUUGAGUAUCAUGAACACCUCAACUCUCAUGGCCUUUGCCAUGACGAGCUUGGACUUUGGGGGUUUUGCUGGCUUGUAGUUGGCUCCUCUCAAAUGAAUCAGCUUGCCAGCGUUUGGUGGCAUCACGGGUGUGAUAAAUAUCUGCGCUUGUGGUUUUCCACCUAGGUAACCUUCAUCGCUGAAAGGUUCGCUGGGGCUCAUAAAUGUCUCUCCUCAGUGAGGACAGCUCUUUGAACAUUUGAUCUCAAAUCAGGUAGGACUACCCGCUGAACUUAAGCAUAUCAAUAAGCGGAGGAAAAGAAACUAACAAGGAUUCCCCUAGUAACUGCGAGUGAAGCGGGAAGAGCUCAAAUUUAAAAUCUGGCGUGCCUCUGGUCUCCGAGUGAGUCGAGAAGUUGG